This 589-nucleotide ribosomal RNA is filed under the name uncultured bacterium. RNAcentral describes it as "partial 16S ribosomal RNA". It matches the Rfam family "Bacterial small subunit ribosomal RNA", at positions 355 to 941 of the family's 1533-position model. The record is from RNAcentral.
UGGGGAAUCUUCCGCAAUGGACGAAAGUCUGACGGAGCAACGCCGCGUGAGUGAAGAAGGUUUUCGGAUCGUAAAACUCUGUCUUUUGGGGCGAACGUGAGUAUGGUGAACAAUCAUAGUCAGUGACGGUACCAAAGGAGGAAGCCACGGCUAACUACGUGCCAGCAGCCGCGGUAAUACGUAGGUGGCAAGCGUUGUCCGGAAUUAUUGGGCGUAAAGAGCGCGUAGGCGGGAUAGUCAGUCUGUUGUAAAGUGCGGGGCUCAACCCCGUGAUGGCAAUGGAAACAGCUAUUCUUGAGUGCAGGAGAGGAAAGUGGAAUUCCCAGUGUAGCGGUGAAAUGCGUAGAUAUUGGGAGGAACACCAGUGGCGAAGGCGACUUUCUGGACUGUGUCUGACGCUGAGGCGCGAAAGCCAGGGGAGCGAACGGGAUUAGAUACCCCGGUAGUCCUGGCCGUAAACGAUGGGUACUAGGUGUGGGGGGUAUCGACCCCUUCCGUGCCGGAGUUAACGCAAUAAGUACCCCGCCUGGGGAGUACGGUCGCAAGACUGAAACUCAAAGGAAUUGACGGGGGUCAUAGCUGUUUCCUG